CGGCAGACGCCAAACUAGCCGCUGCUAUGCAGGGCCAACCACCGCCACCGCAAUACCAGGUCAUUGUCUUCUUCAGGUCGUGCACAUGUAGUAGCCAAAAAUAUAGUAACCGCUCAACAUCUUUAGAAACCACAAGGAAGCAGCCGAGAAAGUCGCUACCAAGCGGGAUCCAUCGCCAUGGUGCCGCCAUAGCACCACACCCUAAACCAAUAGGAUGAUUC
This 221-nucleotide long non-coding RNA is filed under the name Setaria italica (foxtail millet). RNAcentral's name for it is "long non-coding RNA (SITA_LNC006064)". The record is from RNAcentral. Lineage: Eukaryota; Viridiplantae; Streptophyta; Magnoliopsida; Poales; Poaceae.